AGGGCCGCUAGAGCUUAGGCAUCUCACAUGUUGCACUUUUGUGUGGAACGCAGUUGUUACCUACAUUAAAGAUUUGAAGGAGUUGGGGAGUGAUACACUGUGGCUCAGCUGGUUAGGAACCCAACUAGUAUUCAUAAGGAUGCAGGUUCCAAUCCUGGCCUUACUCAGUGGAUUAAGGAUCUGGCGUUGCCGCAAGUGACAGCAUAGCUGCAGAUAUGGCUUGGAUCUGGUGUUGCUGUGGCUGUGGUGUAGGCCAGUAGAUGCAGCUCUGAUUCGACCCCUGGCCCAGGAACUUCCAUAUGCUGCAGGCGCAGCCCUAAAAGGAUGGAAGGAAGGAAGGGAGGAACAAAGGAAGGAAGGAACGGAAGGAAAGGAAAGGAAAGGAAAGGAAGGAAGGAAGGAAGGAAGGAAGGAAGGAAGGAAGAAAGAAAGAAAGAAAGAAAGAAAGAAAGAAAGAAAGAAAGAAGAAAGAAAGAAAAGAAAAAGAAAAGGAAAGAAAGUCUGCCUCUCUGAUGGGACUGUAAGUUCCUGGAGGCUGGAAGUAAAGGGACUUGCUCAACUUCACGUGGCAAACGUACACGGAAUUGGAAUCCCCGAAGAUCGAAAAUCACUCAUCACUUUCCUGGUUCCUCUGAACUUGCCCCACACUUGUCUAGAAGCAAACUUGGAAGGAAGGCGGGAGGGAGGGUAGGAUGAAAGGCCUCCCAUUACGUAAUCAAAAAUGUUAAGAGUCAGUCUGCCGGAUGCUUAAGGAGGCCGUCCAGGAGGGGGGACCUCAAACUCAGACUUUCAAAGUCAUCUCAAGAUAACUCUACAGGCACGGAACAUGUACGCACUAAAAGCAUUAAUGUGAACAAUGUGUACAUUUUAAACACCUGUUGCUAAAAUCCUGUUUUGGCGUUUCUUCACUGUUUUUUAAAUACCGGCUCUGGCCACUUGGGAGUGGCCAUAAGGAUUCCUCAGAGCUCUGGUCCCAGCAAAUGAAGCAAAUGUCAGCUAUCCCACCCAAAAACCAAAAAAAAAGGCAGGAGGGAAUCUUGGCAAAAUUCUAGCUGCGAUUACAGUUCUUUAGGGUCUUUAUGCUUCGUCCUCUCUCCCGUGCUUUGGAGGAGGGGUCCCAGGAGAAGUGAGUUACUAAGGCUCUUAGCCGGGAGGAGGGUCUCAGGUCUCUGCUCCUGUGGCGGAGGUCUGUGGUUUCUCCACGUCCCGCUGGCUUGCAACAAAGACAGACACGGAGGACCUGUUCAUUGAGUCCUGGGUGAUUUUAUGUACACUUGUCUUCUCAUUUAUAUCUCACCCAGCUCUUUUAGAUAUUACUAUUAUUAUUACUAUGCCCAGUUUAUAGGCUAUAGACUCAAUGAGGUUAAGUUAAAAGCCAGGAAACGGCUGGGAGGGAAACUAGCUUGUUGUGAGACCUAAAUGAGUUAAUGUACCUAAAAGGCUCGACACGCAGUAAAUCAGCAACUAGCAGCUCUUACUAACAUAAGCAGAAGCCAACCAGCUCUGGGUAAUACAUUUCAUUCUUUAAAAGAGAAGAGGGGAGUUCCUGUCGUGGUGCAGUGGAAACGAAUCCAACUAGGAACCAUGAGGUUGCCGGUUCGAUCCCUGGCCUUACUCAGUGGGUUAAGGAUCCAGCGGUGCAUGAGCUGCGGUGUAGGUCGCAGACGCCACUCGGAUCCCCCAUUGCUGUGGCUGUGGCAUGGGCUGACAGCUGUAGCUCCAAUGAGACCCCUAGCC
Molecule: long non-coding RNA, 1737 nt
Filed under: Sus scrofa (pig)
Lineage: Eukaryota; Metazoa; Chordata; Mammalia; Artiodactyla; Suidae
Description: lncRNA (ENSSSCG00060067877.1)
Source: RNAcentral